Molecule: RNA transcript, 2732 nt
Organism: Dendrobium catenatum
Lineage: Eukaryota; Viridiplantae; Streptophyta; Magnoliopsida; Asparagales; Orchidaceae
Gene name: poly(A) polymerase I
Exons: 14
Source: RefSeq, a predicted model, not a curated record
GGGAGGACUCAAUAAAAAUUCCCCCGUAGGGCUUUGGAGGCUCAGCUGCCCGCUAUUAAUUGAAGUCAAUUUCCGGCUGCGCCGCCGACCAACGGGCUUUCUUCGUUAUUCAAAUGGCGUUGCCGGGCAUUGGAGCCGUCUCCAAGACUUCUUUCACUCUCUGCCCACCUCGUAACUUGUGUCCUCGCCAUCGGAGCUCCUUCGCUGCCCAUGAGGCUAUAGCGAAGUCUGACUUCCUCGCCGGCAAUGGGCAUCAAGAUCAAGCCACCUCACCGCCUUCUACCUCUCCUUCUAAUGGGGUCGAGGGCAUCAGGUCGCUUUGGAAGAAGAUGAGUUCAAAUGAGCUUGGAAUUAAAAACAAAAUGAUAUCAAAGCAGACAAGGUCUGUUCUAAGUGAGCUAAGGAGGAGAGGGUAUGAUGUGUACUUGGUCGGAGGCUGUGUUCGGGAUCUCAUAAUGAGGAGGGUUCCUAAAGAUUUUGAUAUUAUAACCACCGCCAAUCUUUCAGAGGUUAAGAAAGCGUUUUCAAGGUGUGACAUUGUGGGAAAGCGGUUUCCCAUUUGCCAUGUUCAUAUCAAUGAUUAUAUUGUUGAGGUUUCAAGUUUUAGCACCUCAAGAAAAUAUUCAAGCAAUUAUGUUAGAUAUAUUUCUCGAAGACCUCCCGAUUGUGAUGAACAUGACUGUGUCCGCUGGAGAAAUUGCCUUGGACGCGAUUUUACAAUUAAUGGGUUGAUGUUUGACCCAUACACACGGCUAGUUUAUGACUAUUUGGGAGGCAUGGAAGACAUUAAAAAGGCUAAAGUUCGAACUGUAAUUCCUGCUCAGACAUCUUUCCAAGAGGAUUGUGCUCGAAUUCUACGGGCGAUUAGAAUUGCAGCCCGUCUUGGUUUUCGCUUUAAUAGAGAAACGGCUCAGUGUAUAAAAGAUCUUGCCACAUCAGUAAUAAGACUCGACAAGGGAAGGAUCCUAAUGGAAAUGAAUUAUAUGCUUGCAUAUGGGUCCGCUGAGGCUUCUAUGAGGUUGCUUUGGAAAUUUGGACUAUUGGAGCUACUAUUACCAAUCCAGGCUGCUUAUUUUGUAUCACAAGGGUUUCGGAGGCGUGAUGAGGGAACUAAUAUGCUCCUGGCUUUACUCUCAAACCUAGAUAGCCUUCUUGCACCAGAUAGGCCAUGUCAAGAUAGUUUAUGUUUUUGUAACAGGGUUGCAAUAUUGGCAUUUCACGAAGCACUGGCAUGUGUACCUCGGGAUCCAUUGGUAGUGGCUACUUUCAGCUUGGCUGUUCAUAAUGGUGGAGAUAUGCUUGAAGCUGUUAAUAUUUCCAGGAGGAUCACCAGUGAGCACAAUCAAAACUAUUCAGAAAUAUUGGAACCCCGGAUGUGGGAUGAGGAUAAAGGUUUGAUAAAUGAGGUUUUAGACCUGGCUUCAUCAGUGAUUACUGCAUUAGAAUGUAUGACUGAUGAAUAUUUUGUUUCACAAAAAAUGGCACAAUAUCCUCAGGCUCCAAUGUCUAAUCUGGUAUUCAUUCCCCUGCAACUUUAUUUGAGGGUUUGCCGGAUUUUUGAAUGCGUUAAAAGCAGAGAUUCAGAGGGAGGCUUUGUUCCAAAACAAGGAAGUAAAAUUAAUUAUCAGAGUCUGGCCCAUGGUGGUUUGGCUGAGCUUCGUCAUGUCUUUGCCCGGGUUGUUUUUGACACUGUUUACCCUCCAAACAUUGAGGAACAAGACAUGAGAAGCUCUUCUUGCACUGGUAGCUCAUAAACAAAACAAAGGUGAGCAUAAAACAUCUCUACAUUUUAAUGGAGAACAGAUAUUGAGUUGUCCAAACCUCUUAUUAUCCCUGCCAGUUGGAUUGAUCCAUUUUGGAAUCUAUUUCAUCUUCAAGAAAUUGUUCUUUAGGGAUCUUCAAGAAGUUAUUCUUUAGGGACCCGUGGGUCUCUAUAACGCUGCUACUGAGGUGUCGGGUCUGAAAUUAGCUGGUUCUUCUGAUUUAAUCAAACACUUUACUAAUCUUCGUUGUAUUGUUCGGAAUUGGAUAGAGGGAAGAUUGAUUGAAGUGUUGCUGAAGCAGAUCUUCUCUGGAUGGCAUUUGACUUCUUUGAGUUCCGUAAGAUGUAAGCAUCUAUUUGCUUGGAUUAUUCUCUUAGACUAAGUGUUUCAAAAGUAGAAAAUUGUGGUUCUUGGAAACUUAUAGCACUUCACAUAGUUGAUGCAUGACCUAUAUCAUCACAAAUCGACGGAGGCAUUAAUGAGAUUGGUUAUGUGUGAGGAGAAGAGGAGUUUGUGAACAAACCACACUAGGGAAGGCAAUCAUGGGACCCAUGACAUGUCAUGGAGCUCAAUGGGGAAUACAAUCACGGGACCCAUGACAUGUGAUGGAGCUCAAUGGGGAAGGCAAUACCGAGAUCAAGUGUAUGUGAGGAGAAGAACUGUUUGUGGACUAAUUAUGCAAGGUAAGACAUUACACGAUCGAACGUGCAAUAGAGCUUGCUAGGGGAGGCAUCACAGAACAAUGAUGUGUGAAAGAGUGGAUUAACUCAAGGGACCUUGGUUGGAACUACGAUCUAAUGGAAGGAUCAAACUAAGGUUCAAACCAAGUUCAAAUAACGGUUCAACUUGAAACUAAUUUGGUUUGCGACGAACUUGUAUAAGCAAUUUACAAAUACAAGAGGAUAGUUUUGUUUGAAUGAAAGGUUUAACAAUAUUUUUUGAAAGAAAAUAAAUAGUGGGUAUAUUUGU